GAUGAACGCUGGCGGCGUGCCUAAUACAUGCAAGUCGAGCGAACGGACGAGAAGCUUGCUUCUCUGAUGUUAGCGGCGGACGGGUGAGUAACACGUGUAUAACCUCCCUAUAAUACUGGGAUAACUUCGGGAAACCGGAUCUAAUACCGGAUAAUAUUUUGAACCGCAUGGUUCAAAAGUGAAUUACGGUCUUGCUGUCACUUAUAGAUGGAUCCCCGCUGUAUUAGCUAGUUGGUAAGGUAACGGCUUACCAAGGCAACGAUGCAUAGCCGACCUGAGAGGGUGAUAGGCCACACUGGAACUGAGACGCGGUCAAGACUCCUACGGGAGGCAGCAGUCGGGAAUCUGCCGCAAUGGGCGAAAGCCUGACGGAGCGACGCCGAGUGAGUGAUGGAGGUCCUCGGAUCGUAAAACUCUGUUAUUAGGGAAGAACAUAUGUGUAAGUAACCGAGCACAUCGUGACGGUACCGAAUCAGAAAGCAACGGCUAACUACGUG
Molecule: ribosomal RNA, 497 nt
Filed under: uncultured bacterium
Lineage: Bacteria
Description: partial 16S ribosomal RNA
Rfam family: Bacterial small subunit ribosomal RNA
Source: RNAcentral